RNAcentral lists this non-coding RNA (29 nucleotides) under Rattus norvegicus (Norway rat). Lineage: Eukaryota; Metazoa; Chordata; Mammalia; Rodentia; Muridae. The record is from RNAcentral.
UAACUGUUGCAGGACCUCCAAUUUAGAAC